This 377-nucleotide ribosomal RNA is filed under the name uncultured bacterium. Its description in RNAcentral is "bacterial SSU rRNA". It matches the Rfam family "Bacterial small subunit ribosomal RNA", at positions 790 to 1167 of the family's 1533-position model. The record is from RNAcentral.
GUAGUCCACGCUGUAAACGAUGAGUGCUAAGUGUUAGAGGGUUUCCGCCCUUUAGUGCUGAAGUUAACGCAUUAAGCACUCCGCCUGGGGAGUACGGUCGCAAGACUGAAACUCAAAGGAAUUGACGGGGGCCCGCACAAGUGGUGGAGCAUGUGGUUUAAUUCGAAGCAACGCGAAGAACCUUACCAGGUCUUGACAUCCUCUGACAACCCUAGAGAUAGGGCGUUCCCUUCGGGGACAGAGUGACAGGUGGUGCAUGGUUGUCGCCAGCUCGUGUCGUGAGAUGUUGGGUUAAGUCCCGCAACGAGCGCAACCCUUGAUCUUAGUUGCCAGCAUUAAGUUGGGCACUCUAAGGUGACUGCCGGUGACAAACCGGA